UUUCGUUCUCGGGGCGGGGUGUAACUCCCCACCGGCGGUAAAAGCAGGGGGUGGCGUAGGCUAUUCUCAUUGCGUAAGCCCGCGAGCGCCUCCUGUUAAUUCAGAAGGGUCAGCAGAUCUGGUGAGACUCCAGAGCCGACGGUUAUAGUCCGGAUGAUAGAGAGCGUGU
RNAcentral lists this non-coding RNA (169 nucleotides) under Neptunomonas antarctica. RNAcentral describes it as "FMN sequence". It matches the Rfam family "FMN riboswitch aptamer (RFN element)". Rfam says of the family: The RFN element is a highly conserved domain that is found frequently in the 5'-untranslated regions of prokaryotic mRNAs that encode for flavin mononucleotide (FMN) biosynthesis and transport proteins. This element is a metabolite-dependent riboswitch that directly binds FMN in the absence of proteins. Lineage: Bacteria; Pseudomonadati; Pseudomonadota; Gammaproteobacteria; Oceanospirillales; Oceanospirillaceae. The record is from RNAcentral.